UACGAAGGGGGGCUAGCGUUGUUCGGAAUUACUGGGCGUAAAGGGCGCGUAGGCGGUUCGUCACGUCGGCUGUGAAAACCCGAGGCUCAACCUCGGGCCUGCAGUCGAUACGGGCGGACUGGAGUUCGGCAGGGGAGACUGGAAUUCCUGGUGUAGCGGUGAAAUGCGCAGAUAUCAGGAGGAACACCGGUGGCGAAGGCGGGUCUCUGGGCCGAUGACUGACGCUGAGGAGCGAAAGCGUGGGGAGCAAACAGG
This 255-nucleotide ribosomal RNA is filed under the name uncultured bacterium. Its description in RNAcentral is "partial 16S ribosomal RNA". It matches the Rfam family "Bacterial small subunit ribosomal RNA", at positions 524 to 776 of the family's 1533-position model. The record is from RNAcentral.